GGAGUUGUGGCUAAGAGGCAGAGCACUUGCCUACCAUGCAUGAGGCACUGGGUUUGAUCCUCAGCACCA
This 69-nucleotide transfer RNA is filed under the name Ictidomys tridecemlineatus (thirteen-lined ground squirrel). RNAcentral's name for it is "Spermophilus tridecemlineatus (thirteen-lined ground squirrel) tRNA". It matches the Rfam family "tRNA". From Rfam's summary of the family: Transfer RNA (tRNA) molecules are approximately 80 nucleotides in length. Their secondary structure includes four short double-helical elements and three loops (D, anti-codon, and T loops). Further hydrogen bonds mediate the characteristic L-shaped molecular structure. tRNAs have two regions of fundamental functional importance: the anti-codon, which is responsible for specific mRNA codon recognition, and the 3' end, to which the tRNAs corresponding amino acid is attached (by aminoacyl-tRNA synthetases). tRNAs cope with the degeneracy of the genetic code in two manners: having more than one tRNA (with a specific anti-codon) for a particular amino acid; and 'wobble' base-pairing, i.e. permitting non-standard base-pairing at the 3rd anti-codon position. The record is from Rfam by way of RNAcentral. Lineage: Eukaryota; Metazoa; Chordata; Mammalia; Rodentia; Sciuridae.